CUGGACUAGAAUGUGAGGGAAUGUCGGGUAAUGCCGGCAGUCCGGGAAACCGGACCCAAAACAAGGUGCUGCAUGGCUGUCGUCAGCUCGUGUCGUGAGAUGUUGGGUUAAGUCCCGCAACGAGCGCAACCCUUAUCAACAGUUGCCAUCAUUAAGUUGGGAACUCUGUUGAGACUGCCGUUGAUAAAACGGAGGAAGGUGGGGAUGAUGUCAAGUCAUCAUGGCCUUUAUGUUCAGGGCUACACACGUGCUACAAUGGACGGUACAAAACGUCGCAAUCUCGUAAGAGGGAGCUAAUCGCUAAAACCGUUCUCAGUUCGGAUUGAAGUCUGCAACUCGACUUCAUGAAGUUGGAAUCGCUAGUAAUCGCAAAUCAGCAUGUUGCGGUGAAUA
Molecule: ribosomal RNA, 393 nt
Filed under: uncultured soil bacterium
Lineage: Bacteria
Description: bacterial SSU rRNA
Rfam family: Bacterial small subunit ribosomal RNA
Source: RNAcentral